Leptidea sinapis is the source of this 619-nucleotide long non-coding RNA. RefSeq lists it as uncharacterized. The record is from RefSeq and is a predicted model, not a curated record. Lineage: Eukaryota; Metazoa; Arthropoda; Insecta; Lepidoptera; Pieridae. The transcript has 3 exons.
AAUCAUAUAAUCCUUGAGUUAGUUGACUCUUUCGGAAGCAAAUAUGAAUGAGUAACAUUAGAGUCUAUACACACAGAAACUUCUUACAUUCCCCGUCACUUUUUGUCUCUCUUGUGUUGAUCAAGAAUUUCUACAUUAUUGUCAUCUAAGAGACCAGCUCUAAGCUUAAGGCGGCUACCUUUGGGACUUCUGUACAACCAGACCAACAUACAUGUAUAAGGUUAAAAGGUACUCAAGCGUCUAUGUUGGAGUUGUUCUUAUACAUCCAGGAGCUAAUUGCACAUCAUAUAACAGAACCGUAUAUUUUCCACAAAUACAUAUGAAUGUCUAAAAGCUUCGAAGAUUUUUUAUAGUAAAACAGAUUGCUGGAGCAUGUUAUCGAAGAUGGAUUAAAUAUAAUUCACGUGGUUACUAAAUAACUGUGAUUACAAAUUAUAAAUUUGGGACAAGUUAAUCAAGAAUUACAUUUUAUACUUUUAAAUUCAAAUUCAAAUAUUUUUAUUAAUAAUUGAAUGCAGUUGAAAUGCAAAACUACAACUCAUUCGAAAAAGUAUGCCUCAGACCUAAGAAGAACGGAUGGAAGAAACUCAGUGGGUUCUUUUUUACAUAAAAAAACAUU